This 440-nucleotide ribosomal RNA is filed under the name uncultured bacterium. Its description in RNAcentral is "partial 16S ribosomal RNA". It matches the Rfam family "Bacterial small subunit ribosomal RNA", at positions 338 to 795 of the family's 1533-position model. The record is from RNAcentral.
CCUACGGGAGGCAGCAGUGGGGAAUAUUGUACAAUGGGGGAAACCCUGAUGCAGCGACGCCGCGUGAGUGAAGAAGUAAUUCGUUACGUAAAGCCCUAUCAGCAGGGAAGAAAAUGACGGUACCUGAGUAAGAAGCCCCGGCUAACUACGUGCCAGCAGCCGAGGUACUACGCAGGGGGCAAGCGUUAUCCGGAUUUACUGGGUGUAAAGGGAGCGUAGACGGUGCGCCAAGUCUGGAGUGAAAUGACGCAGCUUAACUGCGGAACUGCUGUGGAAACUGGCGAACUAGAGUGCGGGAGGGGUAAGCGGAAUGCCUGGUGUAGCGGUGAAAUGCGUAGAUAUUAGGAGGAACACCGGUGGCGAAGGCGGCGUACUGGACCGUAACUGACGUUGAGGCUCGAAAGCGUGGGGAGCGAACAGGAUUAGAUACCCCUGUAGUC